AGCAUAUCAGUAGGUGGAGAAAAGGCAAUAAUGAUUGCUUUCUGAGUACUUGCGGACGAAAAGAAGAAGGCACAUAAUCACAUUUGGCUGGUGUCCAAGUUGUAGUUUCAUGCACUUGUCCGACAAACCCUUGACAUAAGCUCAUUGGAACUGGGCGCCACAGCGGGUUAGAGUCCCACGUGUGGCCUGUUGGGAUUUGUGAAAGGGGUGCUUUGAUUGAGUUGCGCUUCUUUGGAAUGGGGUGUGAAUCUGGUGGUACGUGUCACCCAAUGCACAGCGAUGCUGGGACUGAUAGUGAACAAGUACCAUGAGGGAAUGGUGAAAAGAACUUUGGAAAGAGAGGCAAGCAGUGCAUGUGAUUUCAGUGGGCAAAGGGAGUUUGAUUGAUGACUUGUUUUCUGAUUGCGCUGCCUGCGUGCGCGCUGCGCAGUUAGAACUGCAUUGCGCAUCAAGCAGCGUGCUUCUGAUUUUGCGUGUCCUAACUGUGCGCGUUGGGAACAUUUCCUUGGUGAGGUCAUGUUCUUGCGCUUGGCUUCAUUGACUGUCAGUACCCAACGUACGCAAGUGUCGUGUUGUGAGAACAUGAGGCUCCAGGACCUGUCAUUGAAACCUCGCCCGUCUUGAAACACGGAUCAAGGAGUCUGGUGUGUGUGCAAGUCAUAGUGUUGUAGACCUCAGGGCGGAGAGAGGUUGUUUGCUGGCACAUGCUGCCCCAGCGCCCAACAACAAGGAUGGAACCUUGAGUUUGAGCGCAUGCAUCUGGACCCGAAAGGUGGUGAACUAUGCUUGUGAGAAGUAAAGUCAGAGGAAACUCUGAUGGAAGCAUGCAGUGGUACUGACGUGCAAAUCGUUCACCUGACUUGGGUGUAGGGGCGAAAGACUAAUCGAACCACCUGGUAGCUGGUUCCCUCCGAAGUUUCCCUCAGGAUAGCUGCAGCAUUGUGAGGUUUGUUGGGUAGAGCAAAUGAUGUGAGGAAGUGGGGCGUGCAACCCCAGACCUCCCCUCAAACUCUUAAUGGGCAAGCUCUGUGGAUCACUUUGCUAGCUUCAAGAGGUGCACCCCGAUGCUUGGAGUGGGCCACUUUUGGUAAGCAGAACUGGUGAUGAGGGAUGCCCCUUUUGCUGGGCUAGAGUGCCAAACUGCGUGCUAAAGACCUAACACAAAGGGUGUUGGUUCAUUCUGACAGCAGGGCGGUGGUCAUGGAAGUUGAAAUUCGCCAAGGAGUGUGUAACAACUCACCUGCCGAAUGGACUAGCCCUGAAAAUGGAUGGCGCUCAAACACUUGACUGAUUCCCAGCCACCACAGUAAUUGCUGUGGGUGUGUAGGGGGGCAUGGUGAUUGUGUGAAAGCCAAUGUUGUGAAUAAUGGUGAAGGGUGUUGCCAGUGCAA
RNAcentral lists this ribosomal RNA (1391 nucleotides) under Amphidinium operculatum. Its description in RNAcentral is "eukaryotic LSU rRNA". It matches the Rfam family "Eukaryotic large subunit ribosomal RNA", at positions 37 to 1447 of the family's 3401-position model. Lineage: Eukaryota; Dinophyceae; Amphidiniales; Amphidiniaceae. The record is from RNAcentral.